GUUGUAUCACCUUACAGGAUUUGCCCACUGGGUGCUCACAUUGAUCAUCAGGGUGGAACUGUUUCAGCUAUGACAAUCAAUAAGGGUAUACUACUUGGUUUUGUUCCUUCUGAUGACACCCAGGUUACAUUGCAAUCUGGGCAAUUUGAAGGAGAAGUUCGGCUCAGAAUAGACGAAGUUCAGCUUCCUAAGCAUAUGUAUGGGACAAAUGGUUUAACUGAACAAAUGGACUCAUCCCCACCUCAGGAAGAAUGGAAAUGGGGUAACUAUGCUAGAGGAGCAAUCUAUGCCCUGCAGA
RNAcentral lists this unclassified non-coding RNA (298 nucleotides) under Hevea brasiliensis (rubber tree). The record is from RNAcentral. Lineage: Eukaryota; Viridiplantae; Streptophyta; Magnoliopsida; Malpighiales; Euphorbiaceae.